CACAUCACAUUGUAACACCGGUUCCCGUACGAUCACCGAAGUUAAGCAACGCCGAGCCUGGUCAGUAUCUAGAUGAAUGACAACUUGUGAAUACUAGUUGCU
Acanthosepion pharaonis is the source of this 102-nucleotide non-coding RNA. NCBI's taxonomy places the organism in Eukaryota, Metazoa, Mollusca, Cephalopoda, Sepiida, Sepiidae. The record is from the annotation of a GenBank genome assembly.